RNAcentral lists this ribosomal RNA (731 nucleotides) under Peltigera gallowayi. RNAcentral describes it as "partial 28S large subunit ribosomal RNA". It matches the Rfam family "Eukaryotic large subunit ribosomal RNA", at positions 142 to 887 of the family's 3401-position model. The record is from RNAcentral. Lineage: Eukaryota; Fungi; Ascomycota; Lecanoromycetes; Peltigerales; Peltigeraceae.
GUUGUAAUCUGCAGAGGGAGUUUCGGGUGAAGUCUGGUUUAAGUUCCUUGGAACAGGACGUCAUAGAGGGUGAGAACCCCGUCAGUGACCAAUCACUAACCCGUGUGAAACCCCUUCGACGAGUCGAGUUGUUUGGGAAUGCAGCUCUAAAUGGGUGGUAAAUUUCAUCUAAAGCUAAAUAUUGGCCGGAGACCGAUAGCGCACAAGUAGAGUGAUCGAAAGAUGAAAAGCACUUUGGAAAGAGAGUUAAAUAGUACGUGAAAUUGUUGAAAGGGAAGCGCUUGCGGCCAGACCUGUGCAUAGGUGAUCAGUUGGUAUUUUUACCAAUGCACUCACCUAAAGCCAGGCCAGCAUCGGUUUCGGCGGCGGGACAAAAGCGUGGAGAAUGUAACUCUCUCUUGGGUGAGUACUUAUAGCUCGUCAUGAAAUGCCGCCAGCCGAGACCGAGGACCGCGCUUCGGCUAGGAUGCUGGCGUAAUGGUUGCAAGCGACCCGUCUUGAAACACGGACCAAGGAGUCUAACAUCUAUGCAAGUGUUUGGGUGUAAAACCCGGGCGCGGAAUGAAAGUGAACGGAGGUGGGAACCCUUAAAGGGGGUGCACCAUCGACCGAUCCUGAUGUCUUCGGAUGGAUUUGAGUAUGAGCAUAGCUGUUGGGACCCGAAAGAUGGUGAACUAUGCCUGAACAGGGUGAAGCCAGAGGAAACUCUGGUGGAAGCUCGCAGCGGUUCU